This 900-nucleotide ribosomal RNA is filed under the name Akanthomyces sp. RNAcentral describes it as "partial large subunit ribosomal RNA". It matches the Rfam family "Eukaryotic large subunit ribosomal RNA", at positions 48 to 982 of the family's 3401-position model. Lineage: Eukaryota; Fungi; Ascomycota; Sordariomycetes; Hypocreales; Cordycipitaceae. The record is from RNAcentral.
AACUGGAAGAAGACAAACAGGCAUUGCCCCAGUAACGGCGAGUGAAGCGGCAACAGCUCAAAUUUGAAAUCUGGCCCCAGGCCCGAGUUGUAAUUUGCAGAGGAUGCUUUUGGCGCGGUGCCUUCCGAGUGCCCUGGAACGGGACGCCAUAGAGGGUGAGAGCCCCAUCUGGUUGGACACCAAGCCUAUGUAAAGCUCCUUCGACGAGUCGAGUAGUUUGGGAAUGCUGCUCUAAAUGGGAGGUAUAUGUCUUCUAAAGCUAAAUACCGGCCAGAGACCGAUAGCGCACAAGUAGAGUGAUCGAAAGAUGAAAAGCACUUUGAAAAGAGGGUUAAAUAGUACGUGAAAUUGUUGAAAGGGAAGCGCUUAUGACCAGACUUGGGCCCGGUGAAUCAUCCAGCGUUCUCGCUGGUGCACUUUGCCGGGCACAGGCCAGCAUCAGUUUGCCGCGGGGGAUAAAGGCUUCGGGAACGUGGCUCCCUCGGGAGUGUUAUAGCCCGUUGCACAAUACCCUGGGGCGGACUGAGGUUCGCGCAUCUGCUAGGAUGCUGGCGUAAUGGUCAUCAGCGACCCGUCUUGAAACACGGACCAAGGAGUCGUCUUCGUAUGCGAGUGUUCGGGUGUAAAACCCCUACGCGUAAUGAAAGUGAACGCAGGUGAGAGCUUCGGCGCAUCAUCGACCGAUCCUGAUGUUCUCGGAUGGAUUUGAGUAAGAGCAUACGGGGCCGGACCCGAAAGAAGGUGAACUAUGCCUGUAUAGGGUGAAGCCAGAGGAAACUCUGGUGGAGGCUCGCAGCGGUUCUGACGUGCAAAUCGAUCGUCAAAUAUGGGCAUGGGGGCGAAAGACUAAUCGAACCUUCUAGUAGCUGGUUUCCGCCGAAGUCUCCCCCUCAGGGAAGG